This 726-nucleotide ribosomal RNA is filed under the name Gambierdiscus excentricus. Its description in RNAcentral is "LSU rRNA". It matches the Rfam family "Eukaryotic large subunit ribosomal RNA", at positions 2052 to 2779 of the family's 3401-position model. Lineage: Eukaryota; Dinophyceae; Gonyaulacales; Pyrocystaceae. The record is from RNAcentral.
AACUGCUGCACAAGGAGUGUUCGAUUGGACUCCUUUUCACACAAUGAACAACCAGCUUAGAACUGAUGCGGGCAAGGGGAAUCCGACUGUUUAAUUGAAACAAAGUAUUGCGAUGCCCUGAAAGGAUGUUGACACAAUGUGAUUUCUGCCCAGUGCUCUGAAUGUCAAAGUGAGGAGAUUCAACUAAGCGCGGGUAAACGGCGGGAGUAACUAUGACUCUCUUAAGGUAGCCAAAUGCCUCGUCAUCCAAUUAGUGACGCGCAUGAAUGGAUUAAUGAGAUUCCUACUGUCCCAAUCUACUGUCCAGCGAAACCACAGCCAAGGGAACGGGCUUGGGUGAGUCAGCGGGGAAAGAAGACCCUGUUGAGCUUGACUCUAAUCCGACUUUGUGAAAUGACUUAGGAGGAGUAGGAUAUGUGGGAGCUCAGGUGAUCUUGAAAUACCACUACUUUUAAUGUCACUUUACUUACUCUAUCCAACUGUGCCCUGCCUCACAGCAGGUUUUUGCUUUUAAGGUUGCUCUUUUGGCGUGUUGAUUUGCGUAAAAGACGUCGUCCGGUGGGGAGUUUGGCUGGGGCGGCACAUCUGUUAAAGGAUAACGCAGGUGUCCUAAGGUGAGCUCAAUGAGAACAGAAAUCUCAUGCGGAUCAAAAGGGGAAACGCUUGCUUGAUUUUGCUUUUCAGUGUGAAGAUAAACUGUGCAAACAUGGCCUAUUGAUCCUUUAG